AAUCUACUGAUAAAGCAGGUUAUUAGCCUUAUUUGCAGGAUGAUUUGGGGUAAAUUCUGUGGGUCUCUUCCUCUGGUUUUUAGCUGUGUGCUCAGAGCACCACUUCCUCUUACGGCAACAGCCACCAGAUCUGCGCUGUGAUCAGCCCCGUAUUCAACCACCUCUCCUGACAAGUGCGGGCAGAAUGUGGCUCCUGUCCCGGCUGGUCCUGGUGGCCUCCCUUUGCAGCUAUACAAAUGGAGGCAUUUCCAUAACACAAUUCAUACCAUCCAUUACCAAGAAAAAAGGAAACACAGCAUUUUUAGAAUGCCAAGUAAAAACGGGUGUCUUAAAGAAAAACGUAAAUAUACACUGGUAUCGACAGAGGCCAGACCAGCCUCUAAAACGCAUUCUGUAUAUUUCCUCAAAUGAAAAUGUGGUCCACGAACAAGGUGUUAGUGAGGAAAAAUAUGAAGCCAGGAAACGACAGAGGGAUUUGCCAGCGAGCCUGAGGAUACACAAAAUUAGUGAGGAUGAUGCUGGGCUGUAUUACUGCGCCUGCUGGGAUCCACUGUAUGGAAAUGCGCCACUGACACUGAACAAAAACCCUCCCAUGACCCCACACCCCUGCAAACACAUACACACACCUUUCUUCCUCCCACAGGGACUGACCACUGUCUCUACAGGACUUGUCUCCUGCAUCUGUGUCCUCAGCAAGGUCUGUGCUAGGAGCCCAAGGAUGUAA
Molecule: non-coding RNA, 724 nt
Organism: Leopardus geoffroyi (Geoffroy's cat)
Lineage: Eukaryota; Metazoa; Chordata; Mammalia; Carnivora; Felidae
Source: the annotation of a RefSeq genome assembly